Molecule: transfer RNA, 74 nt
Filed under: Leptolyngbya sp. 'hensonii'
Lineage: Bacteria; Bacillati; Cyanobacteriota; Cyanophyceae; Leptolyngbyales; Leptolyngbyaceae
Also listed under: 3 other names
Rfam family: tRNA
About the family: Transfer RNA (tRNA) molecules are approximately 80 nucleotides in length. Their secondary structure includes four short double-helical elements and three loops (D, anti-codon, and T loops).
Source: Rfam by way of RNAcentral
GCCCCUGUGACGCAAUUGGCAGACGUGUCCGGCUUAAACCCGGAUUGUUGCGAGUUCGACUCUCGCCGGGGGUA